RNAcentral lists this ribosomal RNA (382 nucleotides) under uncultured eukaryote. Its description in RNAcentral is "partial 18S ribosomal RNA". It matches the Rfam family "Eukaryotic small subunit ribosomal RNA", at positions 592 to 976 of the family's 1831-position model. The record is from RNAcentral.
CAAUAGCGUAUAUUAAAGUUGUUGCAGUUAAAAAGCUCGUAGUUGGAUUUCUGGUUGAAGCGACCGGUCGGGCGUUGAUUCGUCUGCACUGGAGUCGGUUUUGGCCAUCCUCUAGGAAAGUGCGUCUGGUAUUAAGUUAUCGGGCGUAUGAUCCUGGUCUUUUACUGUGAAAAAAUUAGAGUGUUUAAAGCAGGCCUUCGCCUUGAAUACAUUAGCAUGGAAUAAUAAGAUAGGAAUUUGGUCUAUUUUGUUGGUUUGCAGACCGAAGUAAUGAUUAAUAGGGAUAGUUGGGGGUAUUUAUAUUCCGAUGUCAGAGGUGAAAUUCUUAGAUUUUCGGAAGAUAAACUUAUGCGAAAGCAUUUACCAAGGAUGUUUUCAUUAA